GUUUCCUACACACAAGAUAUAGUAUCCUUCUGUCAUGCGACAUUUAUUUUAUUGAUUUUACGAAUUUCGAUGGGCGCAGCAAGAAAAUUGAUAUAUAAUAACUUUUGUUCAUUGACUUUAUGACAAUUGAUUCCCAAUAAAUUAUGUGAAUUAUGACAAGUAUGGAAAUGUAACUGUUUCUAAUUUAUUCAAGCGUGAAUUGAAUUAUCGUUCAACGGAAUAAAGUUAAAAAGGAUUUUAUUAUUUUUGAAUAUUUUAAAGAAUUGUUUUACGUUAGUGUCUUAUGUUAGUAGUUUUAUGUUAUAAUUCGUUUUUAAAAAUAAUAGGAUUUAUGAAUGAAAUUCAUUUUUAAAAUGAUAUUUUUAAGAAGAUACACGUCUUUUCCAUUCAUUACACACAUGUAUGCAUAAAUAAUUGCAUUUAAAUAAUCUCAUCAAUGUCUAUUGUCUGAAAGAUUAUAUUGGAAACAUAAUUUUUAUUACACGUUGCAAACAUAACACAGUUACAAAUUAAAUUUCUUCCAUCAUAAUAUUUCACGAAGAGAUUGUCAUCGAAAUUUCACAUUGCAUAUGAGAAGAUGUACAAGAGAAAGUUCAGUGUAAGUAGUACUUAUUCCACUUUUUUAACACAAAAACUGUAAAUUAUUUUUCUUUUAUAUAUAUAUAUAUAUAUCAUUAAAAAAAUUUUGAAGCGUAUGAAAAAUAAAACGAAUAUGACAUUUAUAUAAAGUUAUAACAGUUAAUUUUGCUUUUACUUGCAAUGUUUUUAAACAUUGCCCGACGGAGAAAUGCAAAACAACGGUAUAUUUAUUCUUAGUUGCAAAACUACAACGGGAUAUGGGCGUUGAACUUGUCCAUUGGUUAAGAAUAGACAUUGCGUCGCAGAAUUUCUAUUCGGGAGUUACCUGAAAAGAAAAAUAUUGAUUAUCAAUAUAAUUACGUAAAUGGCCAUUCUCCAUUUCUGAGAAGAAAUCAAUAUCUUCAUAAGAAUCAAUGAACAUUGCUAAAAAUUUUCACAAUAUGGCAAAAGUUCGUUAAUACGAUAUUAUGCAUCGAUCGUGACUACAUAACUGUUUUUUUCAUCUUCUGAAUUAUACGAACACGCUCUGUUGGUUCCUUUAUAUGCAGAAGCGCUAAGGAAAGAUGAGAGGCCUGGUGAGAGAGCGCCUAUGCCACUCGACCGUUCACUUUUUCUAAAAUUGGUCACAGACAGCCGGAUCUUGCCUAAGGAAAACAGUAAAUUGCGACGAUCCUCUCUUCUGGAAGAGAUGUGCAGGGUGGGGCACAGUAAAUUGCCAGAGAAAAUAAAUAACUCAUCCAUAUGAUAUGCUCGCAAAAACAAUUUCGUUGUCCUCGAGAGAAUUCAAAAAUUAUUUGAUCAUUAAUUAUUUGGUGUGAAAAAAAAUAGUUAUUUUCGAAUCAGUGUGGUCAGAAUAAUUUUUUAAAUUAAUUUUUUUAGGUUAUAAUACUUGGACAGUCUAAAAACACGUAAUAAUUAUAUGUUCAAUAAAAUGCAAAGUUUAUUCGUAUUUGUUAGAAUAAGUUAGAAAGUUGUUGGACAAGUUUUAUUCUCAAUAACUUUAUACCAGAAAGAAUGUUCAAAAGAGAAUUUGGAAAGAGUGUUAACUUAUUCGAUAAAUAUCGAUAAAUUAUUAUUAAUUUUUUCUUGAUAUUAUUUUAUCAUAUGAUUCAGGGUUUACAGUAACUAAGAAUAAAUAUUAUUCUUAGCUGCGAUCAUGAAAACUGAUCUUCAAUAUUAACAUAAUCGAUAUCGGUAUUACUGGGUACCGGACGAUGAUGUAACAGAUCGACCACGCGCUUAUUGUCCUUGCAUUUGUAGUAAUCCUGUUCUCCAAAUAUAGUUAGCCAAUGUUCCAACGUUUAUUAUAUUUGUACUUCAUAUUUAUUCACAUACAUAAUUGAUUGAAUAAUAAUUGAAUAAAAUUGAAAAAGGAGAUAAAAUUUUAAUUUCAAGAAUAUUAUUCAAUUAUCAAAAAACAUUGAAAUACUUACCUAAGAUAAUUUACAUUCAAUAUUACAUUCGAUAUUCGGUAUUAAUAAUCAAAGUUAUUAUAUUUACCAAUGAUUGAUUCUCAACUCGUGACAUUUAAUAACAUUUAAUAAUUUCUUUUUUAUUUUCUGCUUCUCAUUAGAAUAUUCCUUCUAUAAUAUGAUGAUGAUACAAAUGACGACAUCAAGGAUGGAUAUCUACAAGGAUAUCUAAAAGGAAACUAAUUUAGGCUAAGGAUUAUUUUUUAAUAGAAUAAACACUUGUAUUAGUUGUAUAUACUUGCUUAGAUAAUAUAUAGAGUGCCUAUAACGUGUAUUUCUGAGAACAAAUAAAUCACAUAUAAUUUACAAAAA
Apis cerana (Asiatic honeybee) is the source of this 2363-nucleotide long non-coding RNA. RefSeq lists it as uncharacterized. The record is from RefSeq and is a predicted model, not a curated record. Lineage: Eukaryota; Metazoa; Arthropoda; Insecta; Hymenoptera; Apidae.